Molecule: long non-coding RNA, 376 nt
Organism: Rhipicephalus microplus (southern cattle tick)
Lineage: Eukaryota; Metazoa; Arthropoda; Arachnida; Ixodida; Ixodidae
Source: RefSeq, a predicted model, not a curated record
AGAACGUCAUGCCGUUUUAGUAAAUAAUUAGAUUGUCUGGCUAACGUAGUUACACGACGUGUUCAAGGCACUAGGACUAAUAUUUAAAAAGGGUGCAAAGUGCUCUCAUUUACAAUUCACAUUCUCGAGAAGCCCUGAUCGCCACCGGUCAAUACAACAUGAUGGCUAGCGUAGGAAGAAGCCUUGUUUAUGUAGUGGCUGCCAUAAUAGCGACUUUGAUGGUGCGCCCCGCUGAAACUGAAGAGGAUGCUUUUGGGGGAAGAAAAACGUUAAACACUUCUCUGGAGGAAGUAUUUACCUCUCUCCGUGAAGCUCAAUAAACUUACAUGGUUACUUUAAGAGAUGUACCUGCCGAAUAAAAAAAAGGUUUCAAAGA